GACGAACGCUGGCGGCGUGCUUAACACAUGCAAGUCGAACGGAAAGGCCCUGCUUUUGUGGGGUGCUCGAGUGGCGAACGGGUGAGUAACACGUGAGUAACCUGCCCUUGACUUUGGGAUAACUUCAGGAACCUGGGGCUAAUACCGGAUAGGAGCUCCUGCUGCAUGGUGGGGGUUGGAAAGUUUCGGCGGUUGGGGAUGGACUCGCGGCUUAUCAGCUUGUUGGUGGGGUAGUGGCUUACCAAGGCUUUGACGGGUAGCCGGCCUGAGAGGGUGACCGGCCACAUUGGGACUGAGAUACGGCCCAGACUCCUACGGGAGGCAGCAGUGGGGAAUAUUGCACCAUGGGCGGAGGCCUGAUGCAGCAACGCCGCGUGCGGGAUGACGGCCUUCGGGUUGUAAACCGCUUUCGCCUGUGACGAAGCGUGAGUGACGGUAAUGGGUAAAGAAGCACCGGCUAACUACGUG
RNAcentral lists this ribosomal RNA (468 nucleotides) under uncultured bacterium. RNAcentral's name for it is "partial 16S ribosomal RNA". It matches the Rfam family "Bacterial small subunit ribosomal RNA", at positions 28 to 507 of the family's 1533-position model. The record is from RNAcentral.